UAAGAUGCAAUGAUAGGAAGAAUAGUAAAUGUAGAUGUUUAAAAGAGAACUGGGUUAGGUGAAAGCCAGUAACAUUAAAGUUUAUGAACAUGGCCCCUGAGCAUGCUAUUCGAAACAUAUAGUAGGAUAGUACGGUAGCAACCGUUAUAUUGCACAGUGAUUAUAUAGUCACUUAAUAAGGUUUUAUUUGUGAAAAUAAAACAAACUAGAGUGGUAACGCGUUAAGUACGCCUCUAUG
Molecule: non-coding RNA, 238 nt
Filed under: Clostridium tetanomorphum
Lineage: Bacteria; Bacillati; Bacillota; Clostridia; Eubacteriales; Clostridiaceae
Description: T-box sequence
Rfam family: T-box leader
About the family: Uncharged tRNA acts as the effector for transcription antitermination of genes in the T-box leader family. T-boxes are found upstream of many aminoacyl-tRNA synthetase genes and some amino acid biosynthetic genes usually in Gram-positive bacteria.
Source: RNAcentral